Molecule: non-coding RNA, 2591 nt
Organism: Musa acuminata subsp. malaccensis (wild Malaysian banana)
Lineage: Eukaryota; Viridiplantae; Streptophyta; Magnoliopsida; Zingiberales; Musaceae
Source: RefSeq, a predicted model, not a curated record
CCGCUUCCCGGUCCGGGAACCCUAAACCCUCCACUCCCGUUCUCUCCUACGGUUAUUGGUUCCUCGAGUCGUUCUCGCACCGUUUCUUCUCUCUUCCUCUGUUGUUCCUGAGAUCCAGAUCUUUUGCGCGAGAAGGAGAUGGCCGCAUGGGCGCUAGUUGCUUCCACCGAUUGUUUCUAUGGAUCUGUGUCAACUUGUUCAAGAUCCGCAGUUUGACGGAGAGAAACCAGAGAAAAGAGCGGGGGAAUGAGUCUUUUAGAUAACAUGAGGAGAGAAAUCAAAAUUUCCAUAUGACUUUUCUUUAUUUUCUUGUUUCUCUCUCUCUCCCUCUUCCGUUCUUUCCUAUUUUGCCGAUGCUAUGCUCUUUUUUGCCCUUCUGCUGCUUUUUGAUGUGUUCUUCGUCUUCAUUCCUUAUGCAUCCUUUUUCAUCCUCUCUAUCGUUGUGCUACUGCUUUUUUUUUAUUGCAAUAUGUUACUGGAAUCUGUGGUUUCACAUUCUUUUUUUUCCUUUAAUUUGUUGUUGAUGCUUAAUGUUCUCUGUUUUCGGCUGUUGUUUUGAUUAUGUUUCUGUGAUGUGUUUUUCUAGCUGCAAUCUCUUUUGCUUCCGUGACGCUGAGUUGAUAUAUCCAGUAUGAUUAUAUCUUUUGUUUCUCGUUCUUUAUGCUAAUUGUGAGGAGCAUGAUGCCCUUCUUCUGAAACAGGAAAUAUUAUUAUUUUAGUUUGUUUAUAAGCCUGAACUAAUGUCUUCAUUAUCUGUACAUUAUUGAACAGCAAAGAAUUAUCCAUUCUGGGUUCUUAUAAUUUUUUUUUUUGUGUUAUCAUCCUUUGUUUAUCAUCCUCAUUUCAGUGAGGUGUGUAUCUGGUGCACCUCAAUUUAAUAACUUACAGAAGCCGAACAGCAGUUUUGCAGACUAUCACAGGUGGGAUCACAAACUUGUACUUGGUAGCUGAUCUUAUUGUUCUCCUCUCCUGGCUUAAUUGGAUCGACCUUGCUUAACCAACUUACUUGCCUGACCUGGUCCUUGAAGUUCAGUUUCAUUAAAUACAGCUUUUCUUGUCUACUACUGUUUCAAUUCGACAGCAAUCUAACCACCACAGUUCUCUUUUAUGGUUUUUUUUUCUUUUUAACAUGUGUAAUGAGCCUUCAUGUUAGUUGUAUUGUUGACACUGCUGUAACUUAUUUGCAAUGGUAAUAGCUGAAUUUACUGCUUGAUAAGUCAUUGUUCAUUUUAGUUGAUGAUAUUUUGUCAUAUACCCCUGAAUAAACUAUACUUGCUUUGAAUUUCAUUUUUUUUUCUAAAGCAUUAGUUAUUUUCCAGUAUUUUAUUUUGACUUGUUUCUUAUUAUGCGUGUCAUGUCAUUUAAAUUUGCACAGGCGUUAAGCAUAUACCUUACAUGUUGUUGUAUACCCACUUAACUGUUAUAGACUCUCCCUGUGGUUAUCAGUGAAGAUGCUGAAAAAUCUGCUCCAGUUCUUGGAGAACCCAUGGAUUUGAUGACCGCUCUCCAACUUUUGACGUAGAAAUCAUUGGCUCAUGAUGGGCUUGUUCGUGGGCUCCAUGAAGCUGCCAAAGCAAUUGAGAAGCACGCAGCACAGCUUUGUAUUUUGGCCGAGGAUUGCAACCAGGCCGACUAUGUCAAGCUAGUCAAAGCGCUUUGUGCUGAUCAUAACUUGCAUCUAGUCACGGUGCCAAGUGCCAAAACCCUCGGUGAGUGGGUAGGGGUUAGUAUCUAUUGCAUAUCUAUAAUUCCUUUUUCGAUACUUUUACUUAGGGAGUCUUUAGUUGCUUAAAAUAUUAAUGGAGAAUGAUUUUUUUUGGGGGGGGGGGGCAACAUUAGUUAUUGAUGGUGGGAAAACAAAAACAUUUUAGAAAACCUUCUUCCAGACAUGUAGGAAAUUUAUUCUUUUGUAUUCUGAUUUUUUUUCCUCUAGAAAAUGAUAGGAAAUUGGGCUGUGGAAUAAAAACUUAUUUUUUUCUUGGGCUGUAAUAAGGACUCUUUGGCUGGCAAAUUGCAUAUCACCUUUUAUUCUCUUGUCGAGGCAUAGAAGUUUGCAGCCGUUUGGCUUUACUUUAUUUUGCGGUACUGACUGCUUGUGUCAUGCUCUGCCCUAAUGUGUUUUUCCGAAAUUGAUGCUUGGAAUGCAGCUAUGCAAGAUUGACUCAGAGGGAAAGGCCAGAAAAGUUGUGGGUUGUUCGUGUGUGGUAGUCAAGGAUUAUGGUGAAGAAUCAGAGGGCCUUCACAUAGUUCAGGAAUAUGUCAAGUCCCACUAAGCUUUACAUCUAUCGAAUUGGGUAAUACAGUAAUCUGUUUCUUUUGGAUCUUAAGAGGCAGGUUGCCAACAACGCAAUCCAGAACACCAUUUAAAUCAAUUGUUGAACUUGGAACAUUGCCUUGUCUUGUCUGUUUAGUUGUGCUGUGGAAGCUGUUCACAAGCAUUAGGCUUUCGAGUUUUUCAUUGACCCGAGCUAGUCCAGGCUAUAUCUGGUUAAUUGAUAGUGCCAGUUAUAGAUGCAAAGUGACUUUGUAUGUUGUGAAUUGCUUUGGACAUUUUGCUGCGUAAUUAAUUAUUCAUUCAUCUUUGUGUUUUG